UCUGCCAAGGACAUUAUAUGACAUUUGACACUUAAGCAAGACAUCUCACAAGUGCAGACAUACCCCCAAAAUGUUUUCCGUUUCAGAGGAAAAUACAACUGCAGUUCAGAAAAGACAUUUGUUCAUCCCCCAAAACUAGGUUUCUGACCUUUUGAGAGGAGCCCUAAACUAAGGUGUUAUAUAACCCCCUGCACCCUGCUUGUGGCUCAGUGUUGAGCUAUGAAGAUGAGGUCACUGCUGCUUGUCUGCCUGAUUGUGGUCACACUGACUGUGGCUAUUGCUGCCCCCAAGCAAGAGGGGUCUGAAACGGGCAAAGGAAAAAAGAUUUGUAAAAAAAGACCUGCUUCUCCUGGUGUUGUAUCCUUGCUGGACGGAGAUGGUGAAGAUGCUGGAGGCGGCCAAGCCAGCACAGUAUGGGGUAGAUUUGACAAGGGACAAGAAAAGAAGGCCACCUCCCCUCCAGACAUUCCGAUCAGAGAAAAGAGACAAUUCGAAGCCAACCCAAAGAGACGUCCAAGACCUUGUCUGGGCUGCCUAUCUGUAAUAUCAGCUAAAAAGGAGGCUCCUGUAACAGUAAGUUAUCUUUCCUGUAGCCAUUCCCUAGACUGCAGUGUUAUGUGGCACUUCAUUACCAAAUCAAUCAGAAAACAUGUCACCUUCAGUUAGUC
Long non-coding RNA from Acipenser ruthenus (sterlet), 668 nucleotides. RefSeq lists it as uncharacterized. Lineage: Eukaryota; Metazoa; Chordata; Actinopteri; Acipenseriformes; Acipenseridae. The transcript has 4 exons. The record is from RefSeq and is a predicted model, not a curated record.